ACCUGCAUCUGCCAACAAGACUGGAAGCAGGUGAGGCACACAGAGGGGGAGGCCCGCAGCUGCGUGGGAGGAGGGGUGGUCUGAGGGACGUGGGAUGCCGGGAAUGAGGCUGGUUUGCAGGUUGGCGCAUGGACAUUUUCCCAGAGAGGGACAGAGACGGAGAAGUUUGACGGUCUGGAAAGCAGAGACCAGCAGGGCUGACUGCUUGGGAGCACCAAGUAUCCGGACAGCGCCUCUCGGGAGGUCCGAGAAGAGAACCGCGGUCUGUUUCAGCACCGGGGCUCAGGACAGUUCCCAGAGGGCUCCGUUUCGGCUCCAGAACCCUGGACAGCUCCCCCAGCCUCCCAAAGCGCUAGGAUUACAGGCGUGAGUCACUGCGCCUGGCCCAAGUCUGGAAUUUUCAACAGGACAUGGGUGUCACUGUGCCCACGUGACAUUUGGGGAACCCAAGGCCCUGAGAAAGGCAGAAAAAUAACCCACGCAGGGGCUCUCAGCCCACAAAUGAAGCUCUUGGAAUGCACUCCCUCCACCUCCACCCAGAGCUCCCCACAACUGACCCUGCUUUCUUCUGCAAGCUCCAUUUCAUCAAGGGAAACGAUCCUUAUUGCCUCACCAUUUCCCACAUGAAGUCUGUAUUGACAUUCUCAUAGACCUGGGAUAUUGUGUCUGCAGCACAUAGUCCAAUUAUUUUCAUGUUAUCUACUGACAGCUCUAUUUGUCUCCCUGUUACACUGUGAGCUCCGUGAGGGCAGAAACAAUGUUUGUAUUUUCACUGCUGUGUCCCCAGUGCCUGGUCCGGGGCCCGGCACACAGCAGGCAUAUAAUAAGCAUGUGUUGAAUCAAUAAAGGCAUCAAAGAAUAAACCAAUACAUCAAUCAA
Molecule: long non-coding RNA, 879 nt
Filed under: Pongo abelii (Sumatran orangutan)
Lineage: Eukaryota; Metazoa; Chordata; Mammalia; Primates; Hominidae
Description: lincRNA
Source: RNAcentral